GGUGGCGAGUGGCGAACGGGUGAGUAAUGCAUCGGAACGUGCCCAGUAGUGGGGGAUAACUAGUCGAAAGAUUAGCUAAUACCGCAUACGACCUAUGGGUGAAAGCGGGGGACCUUUACCGGCCUCGCGCUAUUGGAGCGGCCGAUGUCUGAUUAGCUAGUUGGCGGGGUAAAAGCCCACCAAGGCGACGAUCAGUAGCUGGUCUGAGAGGACGACCAGCCACACUGGGACUGAGACACGGCCCAGACUCCUACGGGAGGCAGCAGUGGGGAAUAUUGGACAAUGGGCGCAAGCCUGAUCCAGCCAUGCCGCGUGGGUGAUGAAGGCCCUAGGG
This 334-nucleotide ribosomal RNA is filed under the name uncultured bacterium. Its description in RNAcentral is "bacterial SSU rRNA". It matches the Rfam family "Bacterial small subunit ribosomal RNA", at positions 87 to 422 of the family's 1533-position model. The record is from RNAcentral.